CUUGAUUGUUCUUUUGCAAGUGGAUCUAGUGUAGUGCACCGGUUUCCUGAAUGUAUCAGCGAUUAUUUCUGUAAUCCUGAUAGUUAGAAAGUAGCCUCUGUAGUUUUCUCAAAGCUUUUUCACUUCUUAUCAUGAGAGCAAAGUGGCGUAAGAAGCGUAUGCGGAGGCUAAAGCGUAAAAGGAGGAAGAUGCGUGCGAGGUCCAAAUAAAAUGGUACAUUGGUGGGAGUCUUGGAAGUUAAAUACUAGUGCUACUGCUUGUGUAUCAAAUAAAAACAAAAAAACUUA
Plodia interpunctella (Indianmeal moth) is the source of this 287-nucleotide long non-coding RNA. RefSeq lists it as uncharacterized. Lineage: Eukaryota; Metazoa; Arthropoda; Insecta; Lepidoptera; Pyralidae. The record is from RefSeq and is a predicted model, not a curated record. The transcript has 3 exons.